Molecule: long non-coding RNA, 931 nt
Organism: Carassius carassius (crucian carp)
Lineage: Eukaryota; Metazoa; Chordata; Actinopteri; Cypriniformes; Cyprinidae
Exons: 2
Source: RefSeq, a predicted model, not a curated record
AAACGGGUUUGGAACGACAUGAGGGUGAGUAAGUAAUGACAAUUUUCUUUUUUGGGUAAACUAACCCUAUAAAUGGACCUUUUUGCUACUGUACCUUUAAGAGCUCAUAUAAGAGCUUUCUUAAUGCAUGAAAUGACUGAGUAAAGGUCUGUUCAGACUAAGAACGUUAACUAUAACAGUAAUUAGUAACCCAUGCAUUGUUUAUUAUAAGUGUGUGUGUUAAUGUUUUGUUAUCUGCUCUUUAAAGAAGGAUGGAUUCUGAUUGGCUGUCAAUUGAAUUUUAUUUUUUCCCGUCAUUUUUAGAUUUAAAAGGAUUUUUAAAACUAUAUCUGUAUUGUUGUAGUUAUCAUUGUUGGUGUGAACAGUGCUGAAAUGGCCCUCAAAUAGUUAAGAUGGGAGUGACGUGAUCAAGGACCUUGUUAAAAAUAAAGUCAGCCACUCUACUAAUUUUGGGAUGCAUUGGAAGUUGACACAGAAACAAGCCCAUAUCUUACACUUAUCUUUACACCGCUUCCAGAACAAGAAAUUUUUGCAGCUUUGUUUCUAUAUAUGCUUUUCUUUGGACUAGGACAGGGGUUUUGACUUCCAAAUGUUUCAGUAUUUGAAAUCCCACAAUCACAUCCUUCAAAAGAGAAUCAAUUUUUAAUGUCAUGACAUCAUUAUGUCUAUGUUUAGAGGAGACCGAACUGGAGACAUACAUAGUAUUACAUUUUACUCAUAGAGUGCCUUGCAUAUGACUUUGACUUAAUGUUAGUUUAAGGAGUUCUUCUGGUUUGGGUAUAUACAAGUGUAUUUUUAGCACAGUGAAAAACAUUUUAAUUCAACAUUACUUGGUAUACUAAUAUACAUCCUAUUCAUACUCUAUUUGUGACAGUCACAGCUAUGCAAAUCCUGUAUUGUUUAUACAAAUAAAAUACUUUUUAAAACUUUU